AUUGAACGCUGGCGGCAUGCCUUACACAUGCAAGUCGAACGGGGGUAGCAAUACCCUAGCGGCGAACGGGUGAGUAAUGCCUAGGAAUCUGCCUCGUAGUGGGGGACAACGUUUCGAAAGGAACGCUAAUACCGCAUACGUCCUACGGGAGAAAGUGGGGGAUCUUCGGACCUCACGCUAUGAGAUGAGCCUAGGUACGAUUAGCUAGUUGGUGGGGUAAAGGCUCACCAAGGCGACGAUCGUUAACUGGUCUGAGAGGAUGAUCAGUCACACUGGAACUGAGACACGGUCCAGACUCCUACGGGAGGCAGCAGUGGGGAAUAUUGGACAAUGGGGGAAACCCUGAUCCAGCCAUGCCGCGUGUGUGAAGAAGGCCUUCGGGUUGUAAAGCACUUUAAGCAGGGAGGAAGGUUUGCUGGUUAAUACCUGGCAAAAUUGACGUUACCUGCAGAAUAAGCACCGGCUAACUCUGUGCCAGCCGCCGCCGUAA
This 490-nucleotide ribosomal RNA is filed under the name uncultured bacterium. RNAcentral describes it as "partial 16S ribosomal RNA". It matches the Rfam family "Bacterial small subunit ribosomal RNA", at positions 30 to 523 of the family's 1533-position model. The record is from RNAcentral.